AGAAUCAACGCUGGCGGCGUGCCUAACACAUGCAAGUCGAACGAGAAAGGGUAGCAAUACCUGAGUAAAGUGGCGCACGGGUGAGUAACACGUGACUAACCUACCUGGAGUGGGGGAUAACUGAGGAAACCUUAGCUAAUACCGCAUAACACCUACGGGUCAAAGGAGCAAUUCGCUUCAGGAGGGGGUCGCGGCCGAUUAGUUAGUUGGCGGGGUAAUGGCCCACCAAGACAGUGAUCGGUAUCCGG
RNAcentral lists this ribosomal RNA (248 nucleotides) under uncultured bacterium. Its description in RNAcentral is "partial small subunit ribosomal RNA". It matches the Rfam family "Bacterial small subunit ribosomal RNA", at positions 26 to 290 of the family's 1533-position model. The record is from RNAcentral.